This 252-nucleotide ribosomal RNA is filed under the name Lacticaseibacillus sp. RNAcentral describes it as "partial 16S ribosomal RNA". It matches the Rfam family "Bacterial small subunit ribosomal RNA", at positions 1171 to 1422 of the family's 1533-position model. The record is from RNAcentral. Lineage: Bacteria; Bacillati; Bacillota; Bacilli; Lactobacillales; Lactobacillaceae.
GGUGGGGGAUGACGUCAAAUCAUCAUGCCCCUUAUGACCUGGGCUACACACGUGCUACAAUGGAUGGUACAACGAGUUGCGAGACCGCGAGGUCAAGCUAAUCUCUUAAAGCCAUUCUCAGUUCGGACUGUAGGCUGCAACUCGCCUACACGAAGUCGGAAUCGCUAGUAAUCGCGGAUCAGCACGCCGCGGUGAAUACGUUCCCGGGCCUUGUACACACCGCCCGUCACACCAUGAGAGUUUGUAACACCC